GGCGGGUGCACUUGUAUGUCACGUAUCCGUCACAACACUAUCAUAAGUUAUUGAUAAUACUUGCUAUUCGUUGGGCUCAUAACCCAAAGGUCGUAGGUUCGAAUCCUUCCCCCGCUACCA
This 120-nucleotide transfer RNA is filed under the name Fidelibacterota bacterium. RNAcentral's name for it is "tRNA-Ser". Lineage: Bacteria; Pseudomonadati; Fidelibacterota. The record is from RNAcentral.